GAAUUUUGGUCAAUGGGCGAUAGCCUGACCCAGCAACGCCGCGUGUGGGAUGAAGGCCCUCGGGUCGUAAACCACUGUCUGGAGGAAAGAAAAGUCGGCCGGAUAAUACUCGGUCGACCUGACGGUCCCUCCAAAGGAAGCACCGGCUAACUCCGUGCCAGCAGCCGCGGUAAUACGGAGGGUGCAAGCGCUGUUCGGACUUACUGGGCGUAAAGCGCGUGUAGGUGGUUCGGUAAGUCGAAUGUGAAAGCCCCGGGCUCAACCCGGGAAGUGCAUCCGAAACUGCCGAACUAGAGUUCCGGAGAGGAAGGCAGAAUUCCCAAUGUAGGGGUGAAAUCCGUAGAUAUUGGGAGGAAUACCGGUGGCGAAGGCGGCCUUCUGGACGGUGACUGACACUCAGACGCGAAAGCGUGGGGAGCAAACAGG
This 426-nucleotide ribosomal RNA is filed under the name uncultured bacterium. RNAcentral describes it as "bacterial SSU rRNA". It matches the Rfam family "Bacterial small subunit ribosomal RNA", at positions 359 to 776 of the family's 1533-position model. The record is from RNAcentral.